GUUCAGUUGAACCCUUUGGAAGGAAGUAAUCAGCAUAUAAGAAUAAGAGCCUUGCAGUGGUGAGAAUCCACCUUGAGGAGGUUCUGAAAUCCUGGAGGCUCGAGAAGUUUCCAGGCAAAAUGAGAUCAGGAAAACAAAGCCAUUUGAACAAAGCGAAGCAACAGUGCUUAUUAUACUUCAUUCUCUGUAUGCUGUUUCCCUCUUAAGAAGGACUUUAGCUCCAAGUCAUCCUCAGGAAGAAGUAAAAAAAAAAAAAAAAAUUCAAAGUUCCAUCAGGGUUUGGGGCCUAUUAUCCACCUUUGUGAAGGAAGGCUGGCAUCACGCUCCUCCCACUCUGCCUCCUUAUCACAAAGUUAUUCACAUGGUUCCCUGGCCCCUGCCAAGAUCAGGCUGUCCACUGCUGUGGCCUGUCAGAGUCCAGCUUUUUCCUCAGUGGCCAGAUAUCUCAGCCACAGUUAGCCACCAGGGGGCCGCCUAUUUGGAACAAGCGGUGAAGCCUCCACAGCUUUCCUCCAAACCAACCAAAACAUCCCGGGGCAGCUUUGGAGCAAAGCCCAGGAACUUCCCUGCAAGGGAGAGCAACUUCUCUCCAGCUACAAAACCUGCAAGUCCUAUAUAGUAUAGCCUCCCUACGAGUGAAAAAUAAAGCACGGAUUCAUGCCGAGAAGCCAUGGGAUUUUAAGGUCGGUGGAGUCUGAGCGGGAGGCCCCUCCCUCUGGCCCGGGAACCCUGGGGUCUGCGACUACUUCUUGAAGCACCUGAAACACUCUGUAUCCAGGCGCAGGCGUCAGUUUCCGAAUUCCUGAAAGUUGUGGUUGUUAAUGCUGUCAGCCGGGACGGUGGCUCCUCGCCCCUUUCCGUGGGAUGCUCCCAAGAAACUGGAAUAAAUCACACGUCACCGGCUGGAAAUUUGGAAAACGCUCCAAUAAAUCAUCUAUACAUUGCUCAGACGGUUGAGUAUCCAAAUCGUCACAGCUCUGUCACAUUGCUGUGCCAAAAAAUGUGGAUAUUGAACGAUGAAGUCGACAUUGUUUUAAUCGCAUCUAUAAGAGAAUAACUGUACUCUGUCGUCAAAUAGUUUUGUUGCAAUUACAGCUUCGUACCGACUGCAUUUUAGCUCUCUGGGUACUCAGUAUUUUUACAAGCAUUCUUCUAGCGCAGAAUGCAGCUGCCUGCUUCAUUUUCUCUCAACCUGAACCCUUGGCUUUCAAGACGUGGGGUGGGGGUGCGGGUGGGGGCGGGGGCGGGGGCGGGGUGGGCAUCUUAGAGAUUCAUAUCGGCCCGGGGCAGAACUCCUCAAGAGCUUAAAUUAUAUUCGUCUUCCGGGUUUUAUUUGUACACGUCCAGGGCAAAGACAAAUUAAUAGGGCAGCCCUUCUGGAACCUGUGGAGUGUCUCAA
Molecule: long non-coding RNA, 1399 nt
Filed under: Canis lupus familiaris (dog)
Lineage: Eukaryota; Metazoa; Chordata; Mammalia; Carnivora; Canidae
Description: lncRNA (ENSCAFG00000050358.1)
Source: RNAcentral